RNAcentral lists this transfer RNA (74 nucleotides) under Leekyejoonella antrihumi. It matches the Rfam family "tRNA". Rfam says of the family: Transfer RNA (tRNA) molecules are approximately 80 nucleotides in length. Their secondary structure includes four short double-helical elements and three loops (D, anti-codon, and T loops). Lineage: Bacteria; Bacillati; Actinomycetota; Actinomycetes; Micrococcales; Dermacoccaceae. The record is from Rfam by way of RNAcentral. RNAcentral also lists the same sequence under 3 other names.
GGGGCGGUAGCUCAGCUGGUUAGAGCAGCGGACUCAUAAUCCGUCGGUCCUGGGUUCAAGCCCCAGCCGCCCCA